Molecule: long non-coding RNA, 256 nt
Organism: Perca fluviatilis (European perch)
Lineage: Eukaryota; Metazoa; Chordata; Actinopteri; Perciformes; Percidae
Exons: 2
Source: RefSeq, a predicted model, not a curated record
UCAACCACCUGUUUCCUGUGGCUCAUCUGCGCAGUGUCUUAAGCUGUGGCUGCCCUCUUGUCUUGUCACGAAUACCACUCUGUUCUGCUGUCGCUGAACCUGCCUGUUGACGCCACUCUCCGCCUGCAGUCACCAGCCCUGCAUGACUCGUCUUCCCUGCCUGUGAUUGCUACCUGCUCUGUCACCUGAGAGGAUUCCCCCCACCAGUCCAUUCUGCUAAAUUCUCUGAUUCAGAAAUAAACUGUUAAAACGUUGA